GGGCAACUACCACUCAGGGCCGGAAAGCUCUCCAAACUCGGUCAUUUAGAGGAAGUAAAAGUCGUAACAAGGUCUCCGUUGGUGAACCAGCGGAGGGAUCAUUACCGAGUUUACAACUCCCAAACCCAAUGUGAACGUUACCAAACUGUUGCCUCGGCGGGGUCACGCCCCGGGUGCGUAAAAGCCCCGGAACCAGGCGCCCGCCGGAGGAACCAACCAAACUCUUUCUGUAGUCCCCUCGCGGACGUAUUUCUUACAGCUCUGAGCAAAAAUUCAAAAUGAAUCAAAACUUUCAACAACGGAUCUCUUGGUUCUGGCAUCGAUGAAGAACGCAGCGAAAUGCGAUAAGUAAUGUGAAUUGCAGAAUUCAGUGAAUCAUCGAAUCUUUGAACGCACAUUGCGCCCGCCAGUAUUCUGGCGGGCAUGCCUGUCCGAGCGUCAUUUCAACCCUCGAACCCCUCCGGGGGGUCGGCGUUGGGGAUCGGGACCCCUCACCGGGUGCCGGCCCUGAAAUACAGUGGCGGUCUCGCCGCAGCCUCUCCUGCGCAGUAGUUUGCACAACUCGCACCGGGAGCGCGGSGCGUCCACGUCCGUAAAACACCCAACUUCUGAAAUGUUGACCUCGGAUCAGGUAGGAAUACCCGCUGAACUUAAGCAUAUCAAUAAGCGGAGGAAAAGAAACCAACAGGGAUUGCCCCAGUAACGGCGAGUGAAGCGGCAACAGCUCAAAUUUGAAAUCUGGCCCCUCCGGGUCCGAGUUGUAAUUUGUAGAGGAUGCUUUUGGUGAGGUGCCGCCCGAGUUCCCUGGAACGGGACGCCACAGAGGGUGAGAGCCCCGU
RNAcentral lists this ribosomal RNA (839 nucleotides) under Trichoderma hamatum. RNAcentral's name for it is "eukaryotic LSU rRNA". The record is from RNAcentral. Lineage: Eukaryota; Fungi; Ascomycota; Sordariomycetes; Hypocreales; Hypocreaceae.